AAAGGGGGCAAUACGGUAAGACGUGUCAAGACGCGAUACCACUCGGAUUUCGAGAUGUCAAACCGCCUUACGCCAUAUGUAUUGAAAUUGUUCGGGAGACAUGGUUCGAGCCCCCUUU
This 118-nucleotide ribosomal RNA is filed under the name Silene noctiflora (night-flowering catchfly). The record is from RNAcentral. Lineage: Eukaryota; Viridiplantae; Streptophyta; Magnoliopsida; Caryophyllales; Caryophyllaceae.